Molecule: ribosomal RNA, 498 nt
Filed under: uncultured bacterium
Lineage: Bacteria
Description: partial 16S ribosomal RNA
Rfam family: Bacterial small subunit ribosomal RNA
Source: RNAcentral
AUUGAACGCUGGCGGAAUGCUUUACACAUGCAAGUCGAACGGUAACAGGUCUUCGGAUGCUGACGAGUGGCGAACGGGUGAGUAAUAUAUCGGAACGUGCCCAGUCGUGGGGGAUAACGUAGCGAAAGUUACGCUAAUACCGCAUACGAUCUAUGGAUGAAAGCGGGGGAUCGCAAGACCUCGCGCGAUUGGAGCGGCCGAUAUCAGAUUAGGUAGUUGGUGGGGUAAAGGCGCACCAAGCCAAAGAUCUGUAGCUGGUCUGAGAGGACGACCAGCCACACUGGAACUGAGACACGGUCCAGACUCCUACGGGAGGCAGCAGUGGGGAAUUGUGGACAAGGGACGCAAGUCUGAUCCAGCCAUUCCGCGUGCAGGAUGAAGGCCCUCGGGUUGUAAACUGCUUUUGUACGGAACGAAAAGGUCUCUAUUAAUACUAGGGGCUCAUGACGGUACCGUAAGAAUAAGCACCGGCUAACUACGUGCCAGCCGCCGCGGUAA